This 415-nucleotide long non-coding RNA is filed under the name Equus caballus (horse). RNAcentral's name for it is "lncRNA (ENSECAG00000045155.1)". The record is from RNAcentral. Lineage: Eukaryota; Metazoa; Chordata; Mammalia; Perissodactyla; Equidae.
GGAGAGGAGAGGCACACACCUGGCUGGAGAAUGUUGAUCAAAUAGGCUUGAUUUGGUGUAGAGGGCACGACAGGGGACCCCAGAGGAAGCAAGAGCAAGAACAGAGGAUGAGCUCAAACAGCACCUGAGAGAGAGGCCAGGACUCCGAGAGAGGAAAGAAUUUGAGGCACGAGGAGGGGAAGCAAAUGAGCUGCCAAGGGUCACACAGCUAGUAAGUGGUGGUGCCAGGAUUCAAAUCCAACACGGCCCCUGGGGAGGCACUGGCAUUUGGAGCAGGGAGUGAGAUCAUCUACCCUGGGCUUUAAGGCCCCGCGGUCCCUAGCCCAGAGCUGUGCACCUAGGUGAUGCCCAGUAAAUGGUGAAUGGAGGACUUCAUGGAAAACACCAAGAACAUUCCAUGAGCACGUUCUCAAAC